CCUGGAAUGACUGAUGCUGUUAUGCCCCAUCGCCUAGGCCUGAAAGAGCUCUCAGAAUCUGCACAGUUUUCAAUCUCUCUAGAGAGACGAUGUCCACCGAUAUGCUGUGAGGCAGUCCCUGUUCAAAGAUGCUUGCAGGAAACUGCAAAGAAAGGAAAGAGAAGACGGCUGAACAAAACCAGUAAAAACCAGUUGAAGGCAACAUGAAAGUCUGACUGGACCUGACAUAGACCCUACAACACAUCAUAUGUUCAUUGUAAUACAUUGCAUAUUAUGGAACCUACCCACCGAUGCCAUGACAGUUUACAACUGCCAUGGCAAUGGCGGGAUACAACCAUAUAAGGAAAGAAAAGAGGUGGCAUCCUUGUUCCCCUGAAAAGCCUGCCUAGUUCCCCUAAUACCUGUGAAUAUUCCUCCCCUUCAUUACUUUGACCUCUUAUAACAGCUCAAUCGCCUCAAGAGCUGAGAAGUUGAUUGGUGAACUUUGCUCCCAC
RNAcentral lists this long non-coding RNA (494 nucleotides) under Equus caballus (horse). Its description in RNAcentral is "lncRNA (ENSECAG00000033289.3)". Lineage: Eukaryota; Metazoa; Chordata; Mammalia; Perissodactyla; Equidae. The record is from RNAcentral.